UGUUGUGAGCAUUGUUGCAAAAUUGGAUAGAAUAUGAUAACUUAUGAGUCCAUAUUACCAUAAAGUGUAGGAAAAAUAUCAGACUUCACAACGAACUAGAACUGAACACAGCAAGUGCCAUGGCAACAACACGAGCAGUAGCAUGUUCAAUUCUCCCCACACACUCACGCCUUCCACGCACAUUCAACAACAGCUAUAACAACACAUUCUCCUUCCCCGCCGCGACUCACGCAACCGUUUCCCACCAUUUUCCCCCUUCCAAUUUUCCCGGAAAAUCUUCCCGCCUCCUCACCGCCUUCUCCGCCGCCGAUAACCGCCACACCGCAUCUCCAGACCUCGCCGUUCUCCUCGAAAUCGACGGGGUUCUUGUGGAUGCGCAUCGUUUGGGGAAUUGCCUAGCCUUCAACAAAGCAUUUGAGAAGCUUGGGCUUGAUUGUGCGAGUUGGCCUGAACCUGUUUAUACGGAUCUUUUAAGGAGAAGUGCUGGAGAUGAGGAAAAGAUGCUAUUUUUGUAUUUUAAUCGAAUUGGCUGGCCUGCAUCAUUACCCACGAAUGAGAAGGGACUGUUCGCAAAAAGUGUUUUGCAGGAAAAGGAAAAGGCGAUGAAAGAGUUUGUGAUGUCAAAAAGUCUACCAUUACGACCUGGUGUUGAACAGUUUAUUGAUGAUGCAUGUGAUGAAGGGAUUCCAGUUGUAAUAUUAACAGCCUACAGUAAAAAUGGUGAUAGUGAUACUAUAGCCAGGGCUAUAAUGGAAAAACUUGGUGAUGAUCGAAGCACGAAGGUAAUUACUGUGGGGAAUAAGGAGGUUGAGCAAAGCUCAUAUGGCCAACUGGUCUCAGGAAAGGUAAUUGCUUCUGGUUUGGAUGAAGAGCUUGCCAAGGAAGCCAAAAGAGCAGCUGCUGCUGAGAGACAAAGGUUGGCAAAGGAGGUAGCAUCUGUGCUAAAGUUGAGUGUUGAGAUUGAUACCUCUGAAAGUCUAGAUAAGAUUGUAGUUGCGCUGUAUGCGGGAGCCGAAUGUGCAGGGUUACCUCUCUGCAACUGUGUCCUUGUUGCAGGAAGCCAAUCUGGAGUAGCUGGAGCUGAACGGGUGGGCAUGCCAUGUGUUGUUUUACGGAGCAGGUGAUUGCUUUGUUCUUGGAAGUUCAAUGAAUGAAACAUUUUGACCUCUAGAGCUGAGUUCCCAUUGGCAGAUGCUACAGUGGAGGGGUUUGGAGGCGCAGAUCUAACAAUUUCAAAGUUGCGUGAUCUUUGCAGCAAGAAAAAACCUAAGUAUUGAAUGAGUUAUGAAUUUACCCUUAUCCAAGAAAUUUGCAAUAAACACAACCACACUUGCUCUGGAUUUGAAGCUUUUUGCCGGCCGAAUGACGGGAAUGGACCUCUAGAAAGGGAGUUUAAGAUGAGUGUCUCUUCAGAGACAAUGUAUGCUGGUAUUGGAAUUAUUUCAUUUCAUGUUGAUAUUUGGCGCUUCAUAUAACACAUCCACAAUAUAGUAUGAGAGAAACCACACUGAUACAUGCGCUCUUGUUGUCGCAAUUGCAUGAUCAUAUGUCUAUCAGCAGCCUGAGGAAAGAGUUUUCUUGCUAGUCAUUGUGGAUGUGGAGAAGCUUUAACCGCAGUUGCUGGGUAAAUAUAAUAGUUAUAAUGUAACAUUAAUUCAUGUGAUUGUUUUUUUUUUUUUUUAUCUAAACGGAUCUCAAGUCCUUCUUGCAGAGUGUAGAAACAAGAUUGAUUUUGUAUUUCUUUUCUUUUAACACUUGAAAAAUCCAACCAUGGUGGGUUUGAAAUGUCCCGUCGGACUAAGUGAUUGAGCCAUUUUUGGUAAUAGACAUUUGUCGCAUUAGUGAAGUAGCCCCACUUGAUGCAUUAUUAAUCUUUAGCCCA
Molecule: RNA transcript, 1882 nt
Organism: Lotus japonicus
Lineage: Eukaryota; Viridiplantae; Streptophyta; Magnoliopsida; Fabales; Fabaceae
Gene name: CBBY-like protein
Exons: 12
Source: RefSeq, a predicted model, not a curated record